This 367-nucleotide ribosomal RNA is filed under the name uncultured organism. Its description in RNAcentral is "bacterial SSU rRNA". It matches the Rfam family "Bacterial small subunit ribosomal RNA", at positions 526 to 896 of the family's 1533-position model. The record is from RNAcentral.
CGGAGGGUCCAAGCGUUAUCCGGAAUCAUUGGGUUUAAAGGGUCCGUAGGCGGUUUUGUAAGUCAGUGGUGAAAGCCCAUCGCUCAACGGUGGAACGGCCAUUGAUACUGCAAGACUUGAAUUAUUGGGAAGCAACUAGAAUAGUGUAGUGUAGCGGUGAAAUGCUUAGAUAUUACAUGGAAUACCAAUUGCGAAGGCAGGUUGCUACCAAUACAUUGACGCUGAUGGACGAAAGCGUGGGGAGCGAACAGGAUUAGAUACCCUGGUAGUCCACGCCGUAAACGAUGGAUACUAGCUGUUCGGAGCAAUCUGAGUGGCUAAGCGAAAGUGAUAAGUAUCCCACCUGGGGAGUACGUUCGCAAGAAUG